This 107-nucleotide small nuclear RNA is filed under the name Meriones unguiculatus (Mongolian gerbil). The record is from RNAcentral. Lineage: Eukaryota; Metazoa; Chordata; Mammalia; Rodentia; Muridae.
GUGCUGGCUUUGGCAGCACAUAGACUAAAAUUGGAACACUACAGAGAAGAUUAGCAUGGCCCCUGUACAAGGAUGACACACAAAUUCUCGAAGCUUUCCAUAUUUUU